GGUCAAGCUACAAAGGGCUUACGGUGGAUACCUAGGCACAGGAAGGCGAUGAAGGACGUGGUUACCGACGAUACACUUUGGGGAGCUGGAAACAAGCCUUGAGCCAAAGAUUUCCGAAUGGGGCAACCCUAUAUACUGCCCGUUGAAUACAUAGACGGGAAAGAGCAAACCCAGCGAAUUGAAACAUCUUAGUAGCUGGAGGAAGAGAAAAUAAAUAAUGAUUUCCCUAGUAGCGGCGAGCGAACGGGAAAGAGCCCAAACCAGUUGGCAUGACUAACUGGGGUUAUAGGACAGCAACAUGUAUCAACAAAGUUAGACGAAUUGUUUGAAAGACAAGUCAUAGAGAGUGAAAACCUCGUAGUCAAAAACUAAGUUGAGCUAGCUGUAUCCUGAGUAGCACGGUACACGAGAAAUUCCGUGUGAAUUUGCCGGGACCACCCGGUAAGGCUAAAUACUCAUCUGUGACCGAUAGUGAACCAGUACCGCGAGGGAAAGGUGAAAAGAACCCCGAGAGGGGAGUGAAAUAGAACAUGAAACCGUAAGCUUACAAGCAAUGGGAGGACGAUUUAACGUCUGACCGUGUGCCUGUUGAAGAAUGAGCCGGCGACUUAUAGGCAGUGGCAGGUUAAGGCGGGAAUGCUGGAGCCAAAGCGAAAGCGAGUGUGAAAAGCGCGAUAGUCACUGUUUAUAGACCCGAACCUGGGUGAUCUAACCAUGGGCAGGAUGAAGCUUGGGUAACACCAAGUGGAGGUCCGAACCGACUGAUGUUGAAAAAUCAGCGGAUGACCUGUGGUUAGGGGUGAAAUGCCAAUCGAACCCAGAGCUAGCUGGUUCUCCCCGAAAUAUGUUGAGGCAUAGCGGUUGUGAUUAUAGUCUGGGGGUAAAGCACUGACUCGGUGCGGGCGGAGAGAUCUGUACCAAAUCGAAUCAAACUCUGAAUACCAGAUGCACACACAACCAGUCAGACUGUGGGGGAUAAGCUCCAUGGUCAAGAGGGAAACAGCCCAGAUCACCAGCUAAGGUCCCCAAGACAUCGCUAAGUGGAUAAGGAGGUAGGAAUACAGAGACAACCAGGAGGUUUGCUUAGAAGCAGCCACCCUUAAAAGAGUGCGUAAUAGCUCACUGGUCAAGUGUUCCCGCGCCGAAAAUGAACGGGACUAAGCGAUGCACCGAAGCUGUGAGAUUAAUUUAUUAAUCGGUAGGGGAGCGUUCUGUAAUAGUGAGAAGCAUUAGCGUAAGCAGAUGUGGACGAAACAGAAGUGAGAAUGUCGGCUUGAGUAGCGCAAACAUUGGUAAGAAUCCAAUGCCCCGAAAACCCAAGGCUUUCUACGCAAGGCUCGUCCACGUAGAGUUAGUCGGGACCUAAGGCGAGGCUGAAAAGCGUAGUCGAUGGAUACAGGGUUAAUAUUCCCUGACUGAUAUGUUGGAGCAAACUAGGGACGCAUGAUGAUAAGCCAUACCCUUAAUGGAUUGGGAAGAGUUUACGAACUCUACAUGGUGAAGAUAGUGCCAAGAAAAGCUAGGUAGCGAUGAAAACAUACACCCGUACCCCAAACCGACACAGGUGGGUAGGUAGAGAAUACUAAGGGGCGCGAGAUAACUCUCUCUAAGGAACUCGGCAAAAUUACCCCGUAACUUCGGGAGAAGGGGUGCCCACCUAAGACGUGGGUCGCAGUGAAAUGAUCCAAGCGACUGUUUACCAAAAACACAGGUCUCUGCUAAGUCGUAAGACGAUGUAUAGGGGCUGACGCCUGCCCAGUGCCGGAAGGUUAAGGAAGUCGGUCAGCGCAAGUGAAGCUGGCGACCGAAGCCCCGGUGAACGGCGGCCGUAACUAUAACGGUCCUAAGGUAGCGAAAUUCCUUGUCGGGUAAGUUCCGACCCGCACGAAAGGCGUAACGAUUUGGAUGCUGUCUCGGAGAGAGACUCGGCGAAAUAGGAUUGUCUGUGAAGAUACGGACUACUUGCACCCGGACAGAAAGACCCUAUGAAGCUUUACUAUAACUUGGAAUUGGGUUCGGGCUUCUCUUGCGCAGGAUAGGUGGGAGACUAUGAUGAUGUCCUUGUGGGGAUAUCGGAGUCAACAGUGAGAUACCACUCUGGAGAGGCUAGGAUUCUAACCUUUACCCAUGAAUCUGGGAGAGGAACAGUUUCAGGCGGGUAGUUUGACUGGGGCGGUCGCCUCCUAAAUUGUAACGGAGGCGCGCAAAGGUUCCCUCAGGCUGGUCGGAAAUCAGCCGCAGAGUGCAAAAGCAUAAGGGAGCUUGACUGCAAGACCAACAAGUCGAGCAGGGACGAAAGUCGGCUUUAGUGAUCCGACGGCACAGCGUGGAAUGGCCGUCGCUCAUCGGAUAAAAGUUACUCUAGGGAUAACAGGCUGAUCUCCCCCAAGAGUUCACAUCGACGGGGAGGUUUGGCACCUCGAUGUCGGCUCAUCGCAACCUGGUGCGGAAGUACGUGCCAAGGGUUGGGCUGUUCGCCCAUUAAAGCGGUACGUGAGCUGGGUUCAGAACGUCGUGAGACAGUUCGGUCCAUAUCCGGUGCAAGCGCAAGAGUAUUGAGAGGACUCCUCCUUAGUACGAGAGGACCGGGAGGAACGCACCGCUGGUGUACCAGUUAUCGUGCCAACGGUAAACGCUGGGUAGCCAUGUGCGGAGUGGAUAACCGCUGAAAGCAUCUAAGUGGGAAGCCCACCUCAAGAUGAGUACUCUCAUGACAUAAGUCAGUAAGGUCACGGGCAGAAUACCCGUUAAUAGGCUUUAGGUAGAAGUACAGUAAUGUAUGUAGCCAAGAAGUACUAAUAGACCGAGGGCUUGUCCUC
Molecule: ribosomal RNA, 2819 nt
Organism: Synechococcus sp.
Lineage: Bacteria; Bacillati; Cyanobacteriota; Cyanophyceae; Synechococcales; Synechococcaceae
Rfam family: Bacterial large subunit ribosomal RNA
Source: Rfam